This 475-nucleotide long non-coding RNA is filed under the name Nicotiana benthamiana. Its description in RNAcentral is "long non-coding RNA (NBEN_LNC031488)". The record is from RNAcentral. Lineage: Eukaryota; Viridiplantae; Streptophyta; Magnoliopsida; Solanales; Solanaceae.
GAAAAGAUAACCAUUACAAGCUCAUUUAUUUUAUUUUAAAUAUGCAGAUUUCAUACAUUAAGGCUUUGGUGACAACAACAACGUUGAGAUAUAUCACAUGCUCCAUUUGAAAAACCUUGGCCUUUGCAUUCAAAGUUGCAAUCCUCUGCUGUGAAGUCAGUUGUGCAUGCCUUAAAGCAAAAUGGCCUACCUGAAUCAUUUAUUUGACCUGUCACCCAAAAAAAUUAGUUUAAAUUUUUACAAAAAAAGAAAAAAAUAUUAACAAACAAAAAAAAAAGGUUAUUAAAGGAUCUUAUGUCAAAUAAAAAGAAAAAAAUAUUAACAAACAAAAAAAAGGUUUAUUAAAGGAUCUUAUGUAUUUACCUAGAGAAUUUAAUGCAGUUGAAAAUGAGACAAAUAGGAGGAGAAAUACAACUAAGAACUUGGGAAACUCCAUUUGAGGCUUACUCUGUUGAUAUAAAUGUUUAGAGUUUAG